CAAAUACUCCCUCCGUCCGAAAAUAUUUAUCAUCAAAAUGAACAAAAAGGAUGUAUCCACAACAAAAAUGUGUCUAGAUACAUCCCCUUUUAUCCAUUUUGAUGACAAGUAUUUCUGGACGGAAGGAGUACGUU
Triticum urartu is the source of this 134-nucleotide non-coding RNA. Lineage: Eukaryota; Viridiplantae; Streptophyta; Magnoliopsida; Poales; Poaceae. The record is from Rfam.